GACGAACGCUGGCGGCGUGCUUAACACAUGCAAGUCGAACGGAAAGGCCCUGCUUUUGUGGGGUGCUCGAGUGGCGAACGGGUGAGUAACACGUGAGUAACCUGCCCUUGACUUUGGGAUAACUUCAGGAAACUGGGGCUAAUACCGGAUAGGAGCUCCUGCUGCAUGGUGGGGGUUGGAAAGUUUCGGCGGUUGGGGCUGGACUGGCGGCUUAUCAGCUUGUUGGUGGGGUAGUGGCUUACCAAGGCUUUGACGGGUAGCCGGCCUGAGAGGGUGACCGGCCACAUUGGGACUGAGAUACGGCCCAGACUCCUACGGGAGGCAGCAGUGGGGAAUAUUGCACAAUGGGCGGAAGCGUGAUGCAGCAACGCCGCGUGCGGGAUGACGGCCUUCGGGUUGUAAACCGCUUUCGCCUGUGACGAAGCGUGAGUGACGGUAAUGGGUAAAGAAGCACCGGCUAACUACGUG
RNAcentral lists this ribosomal RNA (468 nucleotides) under uncultured bacterium. RNAcentral describes it as "partial 16S ribosomal RNA". It matches the Rfam family "Bacterial small subunit ribosomal RNA", at positions 28 to 507 of the family's 1533-position model. The record is from RNAcentral.